UGAGUAAGCUGUGCUAUCGCACAAGAUGGUGCUAAAAACACAUUGCCGAAAGGACUCUUGUGAGGAAAGUCCGGGCUCCAUAGGGCAAGGAUAACGGGUAACGCCCGCCGAAGGCGACUUUAGGACAAGUGCAACAGAAAUAAACCGCCUGUUUAUGCAGGUAAGGGUGGAAAGGUGAGGUAAGAGCUCACCCGAGGUACGGAGACGUACUUUCGCUGUAAACUCUAUUCGGAGCAACACCGUGGGUAGAGCUGCGUUAAAUCGCAAGGU
This 270-nucleotide RNase P RNA is filed under the name Oscillospiraceae bacterium. RNAcentral's name for it is "partial RNase P RNA component class A". It matches the Rfam family "Bacterial RNase P class A", at positions 1 to 259 of the family's 367-position model. Rfam says of the family: Ribonuclease P (RNase P) is a ubiquitous endoribonuclease, found in archaea, bacteria and eukarya as well as chloroplasts and mitochondria. Lineage: Bacteria; Bacillati; Bacillota; Clostridia; Eubacteriales; Oscillospiraceae. The record is from RNAcentral.